UACAGAGGGUGCGAGCGUUAAUCGGAAUUACUGGGCGUAAAGCGUGCGUGGACGGUUAUGUAAGUCAGGUGUGAAAGCCCCGGGCUCAACCUGGGAAUUGCAUUUGAGACUGCAUAGCUAGGGUGCGGAAGAGGGAAGCGGAAUUUCCGGUGUAGCGGUGAAAUGCGUAGAUAUCGGAAGGAACAUCAGUGGCGAAAGCGGCUUCCUGGUCCAGCACCGACGUUCAGGCACGAAAGCGUGGGGAGCGAACCGG
RNAcentral lists this ribosomal RNA (253 nucleotides) under uncultured bacterium. Its description in RNAcentral is "partial 16S ribosomal RNA". It matches the Rfam family "Bacterial small subunit ribosomal RNA", at positions 524 to 776 of the family's 1533-position model. The record is from RNAcentral.